Molecule: ribosomal RNA, 253 nt
Filed under: uncultured bacterium
Lineage: Bacteria
Description: partial 16S ribosomal RNA
Rfam family: Bacterial small subunit ribosomal RNA
Source: RNAcentral
UACAGAGGUCUCAAGCGUUGUUCGGCUUCAUUGGGCGUAAAGGGUGCGUAGGCGGCGCGGUAAGUCGGGUGUGAAAUCUCGGGGCUUAACUCCGAAACUGCAUUCGAUACUGCCGUGCUUGAGGACUGGAGAGGAGACUGGAAUUUACGGUGUAGCGGUGAAAUGCGUAGAUAUCGUAAGGAAGACCAGUGGCGAAGGCGGGUCUCUGGACAGUUCCUGACGCUGAGGCACGAAGGCCAGGGGAGCAAACGGG